Molecule: ribosomal RNA, 2895 nt
Filed under: Escherichia coli
Lineage: Bacteria; Pseudomonadati; Pseudomonadota; Gammaproteobacteria; Enterobacterales; Enterobacteriaceae
Description: bacterial LSU rRNA
Rfam family: Bacterial large subunit ribosomal RNA
Source: RNAcentral
ACUAAGCGUACACGGUGGAUGCCCUGGCAGUCAGAGGCGAUGAAGGACGUGCUAAUCUGCGAUAAGCGUCGGUAAGGUGAUAUGAACCGUUAUAACCGGCGAUUUCCGAAUGGGGAAACCCAGUGUGAUUCGUCACACUAUCAUUAACUGAAUCCAUAGGUUAAUGAGGCGAACCGGGGGAACUGAAACAUCUAAGUACCCCGAGGAAAAGAAAUCAACCGAGAUUCCCCCAGUAGCGGCGAGCGAACGGGGAGCAGCCCAGAGCCUGAAUCAGUGUGUGUGUUAGUGGAAGCGUCUGGAAAGGCGCGCGAUACAGGGUGACAGCCCCGUACACAAAAAUGCACAUGCUGUGAGCUCGAUGAGUAGGGCGGGACACGUGGUAUCCUGUCUGAAUAUGGGGGGACCAUCCUCCAAGGCUAAAUACUCCUGACUGACCGAUAGUGAACCAGUACCGUGAGGGAAAGGCGAAAAGAACCCCGGCGAGGGGAGUGAAAAAGAACCUGAAACCGUGUACGUACAAGCAGUGGGAGCACAGAGCAAUCUGUGUGACUGCGUACCUUUUGUAUAAUGGGUCAGCGACUUAUAUUCUGUAGCAAGGUUAACCGAAUAGGGGAGCCGAAGGGAAACCGAGUCUUAACUGGGCGUUAAGUUGCAGGGUAUAGACCCGAAACCCGGUGAUCUAGCCAUGGGCAGGUUGAAGGUUGGGUAACACUAACUGGAGGACCGAACCGACUAAUGUUGAAAAAUUAGCGGAUGACUUGUGGCUGGGGGUGAAAGGCCAAUCAAACCGGGAGAUAGCUGGUUCUCCCCGAAAGCUAUUUAGGUAGCGCCUCGUGAAUUCAUCUCCGGGGGUAGAGCACUGUUUCGGCAAGGGGGUCAUCCCGACUUACCAACCCGAUGCAAACUGCGAAUACCGGAGAAUGUUAUCACGGGAGACACACGGCGGGUGCUAACGUCCGUCGUGAAGAGGGAAACAACCCAGACCGCCAGCUAAGGUCCCAAAGUCAUGGUUAAGUGGGAAACGAUGUGGGAAGGCCCAGACAGCCAGGAUGUUGGCUUAGAAGCAGCCAUCAUUUAAAGAAAGCGUAAUAGCUCACUGGUCGAGUCGGCCUGCGCGGAAGAUGUAACGGGGCUAAACCAUGCACCGAAGCUGCGGCAGCGACGCUGAUGCGUUGUUGGGUAGGGGAGCGUUCUGUAAGCCUGUGAAGGUGUGCUGUGAGGCAUGCUGGAGGUAUCAGAAGUGCGAAUGCUGACAUAAGUAACGAUAAAGCGGGUGAAAAGCCCGCUCGCCGGAAGACCAAGGGUUCCUGUCCAACGUUAAUCGGGGCAGGGUGAGUCGACCCCUAAGGCGAGGCCGAAAGGCGUAGUCGAUGGGAAACAGGUUAAUAUUCCUGUACUUGGUGUUACUGCGAAGGGGGGACGGAGAAGGCUAUGUUGGCCGGGCGACGGUUGUCCCGGUUUAAGCGUGUAGGCUGGUUUUCCAGGCAAAUCCGGAAAAUCAAGGCUGAGGCGUGAUGACGAGGCACUACGGUGCUGAAGCAACAAAUGCCCUGCUUCCAGGAAAAGCCUCUAAGCAUCAGGUAACAUCAAAUCGUACCCCAAACCGACACAGGUGGUCAGGUAGAGAAUACCAAGGCGCUUGAGAGAACUCGGGUGAAGGAACUAGGCAAAAUGGUGCCGUAACUUCGGGAGAAGGCACGCUGAUAUGUAGGUGAAGUCCCUCGCGGAUGGAGCUGAAAUCAGUCGAAGAUACCAGCUGGCUGCAACUGUUUAUUAAAAACACAGCACUGUGCAAACACGAAAGUGGACGUAUACGGUGUGACGCCUGCCCGGUGCCGGAAGGUUAAUUGAUGGGGUCAGCGCAAGCGAAGCUCUUGAUCGAAGCCCCGGUAAACGGCGGCCGUAACUAUAACGGUCCUAAGGUAGCGAAAUUCCUUGUCGGGUAAGUUCCGACCUGCACGAAUGGCGUAAUGAUGGCCAGGCUGUCUCCACCUGAGACUCAGUGAAAUUGAACUCGCUGUGAAGAUGCAGUGUACCCGCGGCAAGACGGAAAGACCCCGUGAACCUUUACUAUAGCUUGACACUGAACAUUGAGCCUUGAUGUGUAGGAUAGGUGGGAGGCUUUGAAGUGUGGACGCCAGUCUGCAUGGAGCCGACCUUGAAAUACCACCCUUUAAUGUUUGAUGUUCUAACGUUGACCCGUUAUCCGGGUUGCGGACAGUGUCUGGUGGGUAGUUUGACUGGGGCGGUCUCCUCCUAAAGAGUAACGGAGGAGCACGAAGGUUGGCUAAUCCUGGUCGGACAUCAGGAGGUUAGUGCAAUGGCAUAAGCCAGCUUGACUGCGAGCGUGACGGCGCGAGCAGGUGCGAAAGCAGGUCAUAGUGAUCCGGUGGUUCUGAAUGGAAGGGCCAUCGCUCAACGGAUAAAAGGUACUCCGGGGAUAACAGGCUGAUACCGCCCAAGAGUUCAUAUCGACGGCGGUGUUUGGCACCUCGAUGUCGGCUCAUCACAUCCUGGGGCUGAAGUAGGUCCCAAGGGUAUGGCUGUUCGCCAUUUAAAGUGGUACGCGAGCUGGGUUUAGAACGUCGUGAGACAGUUCGGUCCCUAUCUGCCGUGGGCGCUGGAGAACUGAGGGGGGCUGCUCCUAGUACGAGAGGACCGGAGUGGACGCAUCACUGGUGUUCGGGUUGUCAUGCCAAUGGCACUGCCCGGUAGCUAAAUGCGGAAGAGAUAAGUGCUGAAAGCAUCUAAGCACGAAACUUGCCCCGAGAUGAGUUCUCCCUGACUCCUUGAGAGUCCUGAAGGAACGUUGAAGACGACGACGUUGAUAGGCCGGGUGUGUAAGCGCAGCGAUGCGUUGAGCUAACCGGUACUAAUGAACCGUGAGGCUUAACC